This 725-nucleotide ribosomal RNA is filed under the name uncultured Lysobacterales bacterium. Its description in RNAcentral is "bacterial SSU rRNA". It matches the Rfam family "Bacterial small subunit ribosomal RNA", at positions 61 to 774 of the family's 1533-position model. The record is from RNAcentral. Lineage: Bacteria; Pseudomonadati; Pseudomonadota; Gammaproteobacteria; Lysobacterales.
GUCGAACGGCAGCACAGUAAGAGCUUGCUCUUAUGGGUGGCGAGUGGCGGACGGGUGAGGAAUACAUCGGAAUCUACUCUUUCGUGGGGGAUAACGUAGGGAAACUUACGCUAAUACCGCAUACGACCUACGGGUGAAAGCGGAGGACCUUCGGGCUUCGCGCGAUUGAAUGAGCCGAUGUCGGAUUAGCUAGUUGGCGGGGUAAAGGCCCACCAAGGCGACGAUCCGUAGCUGGUCUGAGAGGAUGAUCAGCCACACUGGAACUGAGACACGGUCCAGACUCCUACGGGAGGCAGCAGUGGGGAAUAUUGGACAAUGGGCGCAAGCCUGAUCCAGCCAUGCCGCGUGGGUGAAGAAGGCCUUCGGGUUGUAAAGCCCUUUUGUUGGGAAAGAAAAGCAGUCGGUUAAUACCCGAUUGUUCUGACGGUACCCAAAGAAUAAGCACCGGCUAACUUCGUGCCAGCAGCCGCGGUAAUACGAAGGGUGCAAGCGUUACUCGGAAUUACUGGGCGUAAGCGUGCGUAGGUGGUGGUUUAAGUCUGUUGUGAAAGCCCUGGGCUCAACCUGGGGAAUUGCAGUGGAUACUGGGUCACUAGAGUGUGGUAGAGGGUAGCGGAAUUCCCGGUGUAGCAGUGAAAUGCGUAGAGAUCGGGAGGACAUCCGUGGCGAAGGCGGCUACCUGGACCAACACUGACACUGAGGCACGAAAGCGUGGGGAGCAAACA